CUUCCUCUGCAAGAGAAACGAGAUGGAGAAGAAACCCCCACUGCCACCACCGUCCUCACCAUGGCUCCGCCUCCACAGACCAUCCCCCGCCGUUCCGAGGGCACCGGCGGAUGCGCCUCGUCCUCCUCUUUAACCUGGUUCAAGGAAUCGAGCCGGGGCUGGCUCCAUCAACGACAAAAUCACCGUUCCCUUCUCCAACUCCGGCGAGUUCAUCGUCGAUUACGACCGCUGGAGACCUCCCCCGUCCUCUCCGACCUCAUCCACGGCUCCCUGGUGAUGUGCUCGUUCUUCUAGACCUCUUCCCCGUCUAGUUCUCGUCCUCGUUUAUUUUCUACCGAUGUUGACCACCGGUAACCUCCGCAGGAGCUCGACGCCGGCGAUGCUCCGACGAGCCCCUGGAUCCGGCACCACCACCAUCAGGUUCAGCGCGUCAAUCCGCACCCCCGACGCCAUCUCGCCCUGUCCUGGUUCGUUCGGAAUUCCCAGAUCGACGCUCGACUGCGAGCUCCACCAUGGCUGUUCUUCCAGGAGCUUCCGCGUUGGCCUGGUUCAAAAGGCUGCACACCUCCUUUCGACCAACAGCAGAUGCAUCAGCCCAGUUGAUCCGGCGCCUGAUGGGCCUUGACCCAGAUCCUCCGACCCAGCCUGUCUCCCCGUGCGCCCAGCUCUUAUCCAUCGCCACUUCCAGGCCAGAUCCGGCCCAGAGAUAUCGCAGCAUUUGCUUCUUCCCGGAUAGGAUCACGAAGUGGUGUGGUGAGAUACGGCAAGUUCUCCGAAUGUUCCUCGGCGAGCUUUAACAGGCAAGCAUUUUCCCUUAUACUCCUGUCCCUGCAGGAGUCGCUCACCUAUUUUAUUUUGCCUUCUCUCUCAUGCUAUCCUUAAGUUGCGUUCUUGUCACGUGUCCCUUCCACUUGUUACCUCAAGCAGCCUAUAUUGACUCCACCAACCACCUACAGCUAUUGUUUGGUUAUCGGGUCCGCCUUGCGAGUCGUAGUGCAUGCUAGUGCUGUUUUAUCUCGUUACCGUUGUUGUUAUCUUAUCGGGAUAUGUUGGGUUGUUGGGCGGUUAUCACAUGCUAUAUCAGUUGUUGGAGAUACACAUGCUUUACUUUAUUGUUAACAACUAAAAUUGUAAGCAGAGGCAUCUGUGAGCCCCUUUGCGAAAGCAUCGGAACUUUGACUCGCUAAUGUCCCCUAGGACCCGAGUUCUUGUUAUCUGUUCCGAGAUUGAGCGCUCUACCCAUGCGUGGGGACGAUUAUUGGGACCCCCCUCACCCAUUACCUUUUCUCAAGUCAGUUGAAAAGGGGGCCACAACCUUGGUUUUAUUUGGCGCAUGCAUGUUUAUAUACUGUUGCCUUCGGGUGUUUACUUCCUGUUGCCUUUGGGUGUUUAUAUUCUGUACUGUACCCCGCGGGACGUUUAGCGAAGCGUGUGGUUUGCACGCCUAGCUGCCGACGCAAACCCUGAGUCCGUCUCGGAGUACGGCCGGACUUCGUCACGGGUAGCUUAGUCGGGUGGCCCCCUAGACUUUCUUGUUGAACUGGGAACGGUCUUGUUGUGAGACAUCCACCUGUCGUAAGUGGGUCGAGCAUGCGUAUGGUUACAUUUGGGCAACCCCUGCAGGGUGUACAUCUUAUCGAUAAGCCGUGUCCGCGGUUAUGGACGACUUGGAAUUGUAUAGCUUGAUCAUAGAACAACUUACACCGUUAUCUUGUUGCUAAUAAUCUGCUAAUAACUUGCGUAGUAAUAUAGCAUUACUACAACCGAUACCUAAUAAAACUUGUCCACCGUUGAGUGCCUUUUACAUUGCCUCUUCGCAAUUGUUGAAGGGGAUAUGUGUAUCUGGCUGGGUUAUGUUUGUGUAGUAUUUAUCUAUUACCUUAUGCGCUCUCUCACCUUCUCUGAAUAGACGAAUGUUGUAGAGUGUCUCUAUAGGUUUUUAGUGCUUGCGCUGCCGCUUAACUCCACCAUAUUGCCUAUGACGUUCCUCUUGCGUCCUCUAAGUCCCCUGCGUGCCUCAAGUACAAAGGACGACUGGUUGACGAAUGCUUAUACGUCUUGAAGUCUUGUUAAGUACGAACCCGUACUUAUUGCUGCUUCUACGGGACAUAACCGGGCAGGUAUGAAGAUAUGCUCGAUGAAGACGACGUUAGCAAGGUUACCCUUCCGGCUUGGCCUGGGCAGGGUUAUGGACGCCACUGGUUAUCUUCAGGACUCUUAGUCCAAUUUGCGUCUUGUCCGUACUCGGACGUAAUCGAUCUUCUGUAUGAUUUGGAUCUUUGUAUUGUAUAUUUGUAUCUUGACUCGUUGGAGUCGUUGAUGUAAUAUAUGUAUCUUGUGGGCUCUAUUGUAAUCC
Molecule: long non-coding RNA, 2356 nt
Organism: Lolium perenne
Lineage: Eukaryota; Viridiplantae; Streptophyta; Magnoliopsida; Poales; Poaceae
Source: RefSeq, a predicted model, not a curated record